This 69-nucleotide transfer RNA is filed under the name Fukomys damarensis (Damara mole-rat). It matches the Rfam family "tRNA". From Rfam's summary of the family: Transfer RNA (tRNA) molecules are approximately 80 nucleotides in length. Their secondary structure includes four short double-helical elements and three loops (D, anti-codon, and T loops). Further hydrogen bonds mediate the characteristic L-shaped molecular structure. tRNAs have two regions of fundamental functional importance: the anti-codon, which is responsible for specific mRNA codon recognition, and the 3' end, to which the tRNAs corresponding amino acid is attached (by aminoacyl-tRNA synthetases). tRNAs cope with the degeneracy of the genetic code in two manners: having more than one tRNA (with a specific anti-codon) for a particular amino acid; and 'wobble' base-pairing, i.e. permitting non-standard base-pairing at the 3rd anti-codon position. Lineage: Eukaryota; Metazoa; Chordata; Mammalia; Rodentia; Bathyergidae. The record is from Rfam by way of RNAcentral.
GGAGAUGUAGCUCAGUGGUAGAGCACUUACCUAGCAUGUAUGAGGACCUGGGUUUCAUCUGCAGCACCA